RNAcentral lists this ribosomal RNA (497 nucleotides) under uncultured bacterium. RNAcentral describes it as "partial 16S ribosomal RNA". It matches the Rfam family "Bacterial small subunit ribosomal RNA", at positions 28 to 507 of the family's 1533-position model. The record is from RNAcentral.
GAUGAACGCUGGCGGCGUGCCUAAUACAUGCAAGUCGAGCGAACGGACGAGAAGCUUGCUUCUCUGAUGUUAGCGGCGGACGGGUGAGUAACACGUGGAUAACCUACCUAUAAGACUGGGAUAACUUCGGGAAACCGGAGCUAAUACCGGAUAAUAUUUUGAACCGCAUGGUUCAAUAGUGAAAGACGGUCUUGCUGUCACUUAUAGAUGGAUCCGCGCUGCAUUAGCUAGUUGGUAAGGUAACGGCUUACCAAGGCAACGAUGCAUAGCCGACCUGAGAGGGUGAUCGGCCACACUGGAACUGAGACACGGUCCAAACUCCGACGGGAGGCAGCAGUAGGGAAUCUUCCGCAAUGGGCGAAAGCCUGACGGAGCAACGCCGCGUGAGUGAUGAAGGUCUUCGGAUCGUAAAACUCUGUUAUUAGGGAAGAACAUAUGUGUAAGUAACUGUGCACAUCUUGACGGUACCUAAUCAGAAAGCCACGGCUAACUACGUG